RNAcentral lists this ribosomal RNA (386 nucleotides) under uncultured bacterium. RNAcentral's name for it is "bacterial SSU rRNA". It matches the Rfam family "Bacterial small subunit ribosomal RNA", at positions 30 to 416 of the family's 1533-position model. The record is from RNAcentral.
AUUGAACGCUGGCGGCAUGCUUUACACAUGCAAGUCGAACGGCAGCACAAACUUCGGUUUGGUGGCGAGUGGCGAACGGGUGAGUAAUGCAUCGGAACGUGUCCUGAAGUGGGGGAUAACGCAUCGAAAGAUGCGCUAAUACCGCAUAAUCUCUGAGGAGAAAAGUGGGGGAUCGAAAGACCUCAUGCUUUUGGAGCGGCCGAUGUCUGAUUAGCUAGUUGGUAGGGUAAUGGCCUACCAAGGCGACGAUCAGUAGUUGGUCUGAGAGGAUGGCCAGCCACACUGGGACUGAGACACGGCCCAGACUCCUACGGGAGGCAGCAGUGGGGAAUUUUGGACAAUGGGCGCAAGCCUGAUCCAGCAAUGCCGCGUGAGUGAAGAAGGCC